GUCCACGCCCUAAACGAUGAUGACUAGUUGUUGGAGGAGUUAAAUCCUUUAGUAACGCAGCUAACGCGAGAAGUCAUCCGCCUGGGGAGUACGGUCGCAAGAUUAAAACUCAAAGGAAUUGACGGGGGCCCGCACAAGCGGUGGAUGAUGUGGUUUAAUUCGACGCAACGCGAAAAACCUUACCUACCCUUGACAUGUACGGAACCUCAUAGAGAUGUGAGGGUGCCCGAAAGGGAGCCGUAACACAGGUGCUGCAUGGCUGUCGU
This 266-nucleotide ribosomal RNA is filed under the name uncultured bacterium. RNAcentral describes it as "partial 16S ribosomal RNA". It matches the Rfam family "Bacterial small subunit ribosomal RNA", at positions 793 to 1055 of the family's 1533-position model. The record is from RNAcentral.